Molecule: long non-coding RNA, 792 nt
Filed under: Sus scrofa (pig)
Lineage: Eukaryota; Metazoa; Chordata; Mammalia; Artiodactyla; Suidae
Description: lncRNA (ENSSSCG00055021662.1, ENSSSCG00070024780.1)
Source: RNAcentral
AAGUUUUACUAGUUUGCUAAAAGACAGUGUGGUGUUCUCAUGCUUCCAAGCCUUACGAAUAAAGUUAGAAGGUCAUUAGAGAGGUGGAGAGAACACUGCACCAGGAGUCAGGACACCUACUUGCUUAGGUCUGUCUCUCUCCUCUACAAGGCCUGCCAUUAAAAUAGUCAUUUGGUGAAACGUCUUUGUGCCUCAUUUCCUUUUCUGAAAGAAAUGAGGAGUUAUGCUAGCUGUAUCCUUUCCAGUUUUCAUGAUCUGUGAAUCUAAAUCUGUUCACAAAAUAUCCUUAAAAAUGAUUUCUUUUUUCCCUUCUUCAGUAAGAUAAACCUUCUUUUUUUCCAGUCAAUGAUAUCAAGGAUCAUAAACCUGAUUUGCCACAAAACUUGUCAAGAGUCUGACCAUAAAAAUACUCUUAGGAAGCCUAUAUGCAAGUACUUUUGACUGCCUCCUGCACAGGAAGGGAAACAAAGUUUCUCCAAAGUUGCUGACAGGAGCUGGGGAACUGAGCCUGAUAAAGCUGCAGGAGGGCUGUGCAGGCAUAACCUUUACUUCAAGCAGGAAAACCACCAUAAAAAAAGAAUUGGGCUCGGCUGGGCAAAGCUGGAAGCAGGACUGUCCGAAACAUUGUGCUCCUUGAGCAAUACUUUAAUUCCAGAAACAUAAACUGAAAACCUCCUAGGAAUCAGGCAGUCCUGGUGCUGGACCUGAGGGCUGGUGAAAUGAAUAAGACAUACUCCCUGACUUUAAGAACACAGACAGAAAUGUGAACAAAUAAAUUAUAAUUCAGUAUCA